UUAAAAAGUAGGGUAAACAACAAAAAAGCCCCCUGUGAUUAAGCAAUCAUACAUAAAAGUUCCCUGUAAUUUCAUAUCAUACCAGUCGAUACCCCGUGAUUUGAAUUAACCUGCAAAGUGGAUGGAAAUCGUUAAAACAGACGGAGUUGAGUGAAUAGACGAAAAUACCCUUUUGAUAUAAGCGAAAAUUGCAGAAGUAAUUUUGCACUUUCAUUCUAUCGAAACCAACGAAGAGAGAGAGAAAGAAAUAGAAAACCCUAGAGAGACAUAGAGCAGCCCCUUUUCUAGCCAAUUUUCAACAAAAUUUUUGAUUGUUAUUUCAAUCAAAUAUCAAGAUCGACGCAGAAUACAAGGAAGUUAAGAUUUGCAGUAAAAAAUCAAAGAAAAAAUGGGAGUGUUGGUCGAGAGCCUUUGCCUAUAUAAACUGACCAGUCUUGGCAUAAUGAUCCACCCACGAGCAGCUUAGUGCUAUACUGGCAUAUGAAUUGUUUCAAACUUGUUAGCUAAAGAGCAACUUCAAAAUGGGUCAAGGUGGGAGUUCUGGAGGAGGAGCCAAAGGCAGUGGAGGCAACGGAGGAGGGAAAGGAAGCUCCGGUGGCGGUGGUUCAUCUAAAGGCAGCGGCAGUGUUGGUGCUGGCGGUGGAUAUAUGAAAGCGCCUGGUGGUGGUGGCUCAUACAUUUCAAGAGCCGGAUUUGAGGCAAAUCCUCGAGGAUAUUUCUCGGGUUUACGUGGCGGCCAGAAGGGCAAAUGAACUUGUAUAUUGAAUAAGAUGUUAGAAUCUAUUAAAUAAACGUCAGCUAUUUGUUGAAUUAUCAGCUUUGCAUUGAACGAUUUAUAUUGCCAGGAAUAUUUGCUUUCAAUUUUGACAUCUUUUUUAUUUUGCAAUUAUAAAAGGCAAUGCUUUGAAUUGAACUAGAGUUUACAUGCAACUGUGGCCAUAUAUAUAUGACUGCCUCCAAUGACCACUUGGGGAAGACCUCUGCCAAGACUGGUCAGUUUAUAUAGCCAAGACUGGUAUCGAAGACCUCUGCCUCCAUUUCCCCCGCUUGUUGGUCGAGAGCUUGAGGAAGACAUCUUGGGGUACUUUCUGCACUUUUCCUUCAGAAUUUGCAGACCGAAUAUAUACAGAUACAGUUCACAUUUUUACAUUAAGGCUUUGUUUCCUGCAAUUCCUUUGCUAGCCUGCAAGCUCUGCUUGAUUGAUUACUUGCACAGGCUUCGAAUGCUGCCUUCAAUCUUCAAUUUUGGCUGAACAUGAAGACUCGGAAGACUUGGAAGCUGGUCUCUUAUUAUUAAAGAGUGAAGGGUAAAGUAGGCUUAUCAGGUGAAAAUUUGUGGUGGAAAUCUGUUUUUCGCAUAUGCACGCGCCUUUGCAGUUCGUUUAAGACACACACCGAAAAUUUGACGAUUUCCGUCCACUUUUCAGGUUAAUUCAAACCACGGGUAUCGACUGGUAUGAUAUAAAACCACAGGGGACUUUUAUAUAUGAUUGCUUAACCACAUGGGGCUUUUUUGUUGUUUACCCUAAAAAGUAUGACGAAGAGAUGGGUUGGAUAGUUUGAGAGUACAAAUGAGAAGUUUCACAUUUAAAUCCUCGCACUUACAUUAUAUCUAUAAAAGAAAAAAAAAACAAACAGAGUAAAGAAGGUUGAGGACCAACUUAGGUGCGGAAGAGCCGAGAGGCCAGCUGUCUUCCCUAUAUUUCAAGUUGGGGUUUCAAAGAUCAAUGUCCUUCUUCAGAAAAUCUUACUUGGAUCCUAGCUGCUUAUAGACUUUCAGCUAAGUUAAAUUUGUAAUGCAUGAUUUGAUUUUCAAUACCCACUGAGGGCACCUCUGCCUGAACAUCACGCAUUGCAUUUUCAAAAAAAAAAAAAAACGUCUGCUCCAAGAGGCAUAAACUUGUAGGAAAUUAUUUUUUCAAAAUAAUAAUAAUAAUAAUAAAAGGCUUAGGGGAAGUCAUGAAUACACCAAAAAGUUUCUUCCCCUAAAAUUGAUAGUGCUUUCUUUAAUGGGAUAAUUUGAAAAACAUCCCCUAAGGUUUUUGACUAUUUUAGCAACCUUCUUUCAAAUUUCAAAAAUUACACCUGCCUCCCUCGAGAUUAAUUAUCUUGUAAUAUUUAUACCCAACUAAUAAUUAAAAAACAAUAUUAUGAGAGAGAAGAUAACAUGAUUCCACCAUUGCCUCUCAACUAAAAUUUGCUGUUUAUCAUUAGAGAUCAAAUGAUUUGGUAUUAGAUUAACUAAUUAAUAUAGUAGAUAAGGAAUAAAAGUGGAAUCAUGUUAUCUUCUCUCUCUUGAUAUCACUUUUUAAUUGCUGGUUAGAUCUAGAUAUUGUAAGAUAAUAAAUCUCAAAGGAAGUUAGUGUGAUUUUUGAAACCUAAAGGUAGGCUAGUGAAAUAGUCAAAAAUCUCAGGGAAGGCUUCUGAAAUUACCCCUUCUUAAAAAUUUAUUACUUACUUGAGUUCAUCAUUUUCUUUUUCAGCUGCAAAAUGAAAGCAAGAGACGAAGGCCAACAGCCUUUUGGGCUAUUGGUACUACCACCAAGAUAUUUAAGUCUUGGUGGCGGUGGAAGGUCAAUUCUUGUCUCCUACCUUGCCACUUAAUUGUGGUUACCAUUUUCAAGUGGCUUACUUUGACGGGGUUUUUCAUCGGCUUCCCUUCUCCUUAAAUUAAGUUAAAGUAGGUUAUACAAAUGUUAUUAUUGUGACAGAAAAAAAAGAAGAAAGCAAGAGACAGAGAUUGACAUGAUUUGGGAACAAGUGUCAACUGGUUGAACAAAAAUAGUGUGUAGAUUCUACUAGGAUUGCAAACGAAUCGAGCUGCUCGCAAGCCGCUUGAGUCAAAGCUUGACUCAAGUUCGAUCAAUAUCCAAGUCGAGCUUGAGCUGGCGAAAUUGAACUCGAGCUCGAGUUCGAGCUCAAAAUAUUAAGUUCGUUAGCUCGCGAGCUACAAUAAUUUUAAUAGUAAAAUUACAUAUAUAUCCAUAAUAUUUUAUUAUUUAUUAAGAAAAAAAUAAUUAUUUGUUAUUUUUAUUUGAUUAAUUUCCAGAAACUCGAGUUAACAAGCUGCUCACGAGUCAGAAAUUCGAGCUACGUUACGAGCUGACAAUUCGAGUUGCUCGCAAGCCAGAAAUCGAGCUACAGCUUGUGAGCCUUGUCGAGUCGAGCUCGAGCUCGAACUCAAACUCAAGCCCACCUGUUAUUAAGUCGAGCUCGGCUCGAUAAGUCCAAAACUCGAUUCGGCUUGGCUCGUUUGUAGCCCUAGUGUAGAUACAUAGUCCAAUUGAUAAGAGUAAGGGCGAACAAAUAUGUGUACUUUUAGCUUAGGUAAUUUCAAUUGACAUGACCAUAUGAAACUUAUUGUGCACAAGAAAUGGCAAAAUCGACGUACUGUUGUUCUUGUACGCAUUCUAUAACUUUAGUGAAAAUUCUCACCCAUCCUUAUGUUAGGAGUUAGGACUCAAGUGAUUGGGUGGACUUUUAAUCCCAUGGAUUGUGCAUGCAAAGGAAAAUUCUACCUGUCCACUCUAAUGAAGAGGUUAUUUCAGAUUUUCAGCUAAUCAAGAGAACCUCACUUUUUCUUUCUGAAAAGAAUAAAGAGAAGACACGAAAACCAGAUAUAGGAAUCAAGAAAGUCGCCCCUAUCAAGUUGGUAGUUACCUCGCCAUCAAAGCAUAGAAUAAGAGUUCCUUCUUCCCUUGCUUUCCUUCUUUUGUUUUGUUUUUGUUUUUGUUUUUGUGUACUUUAGAUAUGGAAAAGAAUGCUCACCAAUGGACCAUUAUGGGAGAAUUUUCUUUGCAAUACUAGGCUUGUCAGCUUCAUUUUUCACCUGUUUUCCAAUUGUAAGGAAAUGGCAGAAAAAGAAAUUAGCACAAGACAAAUUGAGAAUGGUAAGUGAAGCCUUGGUUGAAGCUGAGCUAAGAGUCGUAAGGUAUGAAGAAAGGCAUGAUCGCAUACUUGGCCAAAUAUGCUCGCACUACUUGGUUAAUCAGGACAUGGAGGAGGCGAUGGCCCGAGCACGAGGAGCCAUGAAUGAUGCUCAAGAGUUUGCUGUGAUUCUCAGAAAUUUGCAAAUUGAGAUACUCAGCUCAUUUCCAGGUGAAGAUGCCACUGCCUUUGAUUUUUUGUUUAGAAGAUCAAGAAAGUCGAGGAAUAAUUCUAAUAAAGAGGAGCAGAGGGGCUAGAAAUGUCGUCCAUGUUGCAAAUAUUGGCUUCCGAAGAUCAAUGGUUCAACACCCCGUCCCUUAGAAUCUUGAUCUCCUCACAGCUAAUAAAAUUUGUAACGCAUAACUAAAUUUCUCCAUAUAAUUAUUCUAGAUUUCUGAUAUUCAUGUGUACGGAAUCAAAAAGAAAGGGUUAAAGACUAUUUUUACAUUUUUGUGUUGCCUGGAGAGUUCUUGUGAUCAUUUAAAUGCAAAAAAUCAUCCUCUCAACUUUGUCUGGCGUAGCAUUUAGAACUAGAAGGCAGUAUACGAAACUGCAUCUUGACAAAAUAAGCAAUCGUUCAAAACAUUAGCAGCAAUUGAUCCACAUAUAUUAGGAAAUUUUUAGCAGCUCUGGUUAUGCAAUGGUACCGAAAUGAUUAGUAGACAAAGAAAGUUGCCAUAUUGCUUUGCAUCUGGCCACCAUUCAUGAUCCAAAUAAAACUGAACUUUCAAACUAGUUUUGAAAUUUCUCCUUAGGACCUGUAUAAAAUUUCGUAAAAGCCUGAAAGGAAGUCUGCUAAGGAAGGGAAAGAGCUAGGAUGUUGAUGGAGGCUAUUCCAUAUCUUGCUAGUUAUCUACAUUAAGGACGCAUUUGCGAACUCGAACAUGAGUUUAUCUGUGGUGCUACAUGCAAAGUGCAAACACUAGAAAAGCUAUGAUUUGCCACUGAAAAGUCGUACCAUUAUGAAACAACUAUUAUUUUAUCAAGUAAUCAGGAAUAAUGAGUGCUAUUUUACUAGAGUUUCAUUUUCAAAUUCCAUGUUACACGAAGUUAACUGAGAUUGGGCUUCUAACAUUGUACUUGUUUGAAAUCCAUGUAAUUGCACCAUGCCUAUAAAGAUGGUCAGAAAAGGGAAGGAUCCUGGUAAAGCUAAUUUCAUAGCUCAACUGCUGUUUCUCCUGUGUGAAGUAGAGCACACGAGGCUGGACAAUUAUUUUAACCUCUGGAACUGAGUCAAUUUUAACUUCAUAAGUUGAGGGGGUCUCGCCGACGCUUGUUAGUGUCCUUGAAUAUGUCUGCGUCGUAUUUCCAAGUUGAAUAGCAAAUGAAGGAUAAUUUAGCUGCGCCUCGUGUAUGCUAAUGAUAUCGGCACAUGAAACACGACGAUUAACAAUUUUUUUGAUGUUCUUGUCUGUGUAUCCCAAACCACACAAGUAUGGAAUGUAGUCAUCAAGCAAGUUUAGAUGUUCUUGUCUGUAGUAUCCCACAAGUAUUUUUUUGAUGUUCUUGUCUGUAGUAUCCCAAACAAGUUUAGAUGGAAAGUUCAUUCAACAAACAACAAGCUCAAAUAGCAGCGAGCCAUGGAAACCACCCUCAAGAGGACAGAUAAAGAUAAAUUCUGAUGCUGCAUUUUCACAAAACAUGAAGAGAAUAGGCAUAAGUGCUGUGGCUAGAAAUGCAGAAGGAAAACUGAUGAAAGCAUGGGCAAAAGCUGAACUAAAAGCUAGCACGCCACAAGCGGAGGAAGCAGCAGCAAUUCGGAUGGGAAUGCAAAUGGCUUACGAUGCAAACUGGAAGGAAGUAGAAUUCCAGUCUGACUGCAAGGAGGUAGUGGACAUGAUCAACAAGGAAAAGGACCAGCAUACCAGGAUAACUAUUGUCCUUGAAGACAUUGUUAAUAUGAGAUGUUUGUUUGAACAAUGUACUUUUUCUUUUGUUCAUAGAGCUGGAAACAGCUGUGCACAUAGCUUAGCAAAAUUUGCGGUAAAGCUAACUAAAAAUGUUGAAUGGGAAGAGUGUUUUCCCAUGUGGCUCCAUGAGAGUGCACAAAAGGAUUACAAAGGGAGAAAUUCUGAUGUAUCCAAUCUUGUAAUAUCAAGUUCAUGAAUGAAGUGAAUUUAUGAUGUUUGACAAAAAAAAAAAAAUGGAAUGUAGUCAUCAGGUUUGAUGUCAUAAACCAGGCCAGGAUCAGCAGCUCUUAACGGGUUCACAUGGCCAGCACCAACCGCGAAAACAUCAGCAGGAAGCCUCAUUUCAUCAGGGAUGCUGUCAUUAUUCCGGUCUAAGAUGUCGGCAGUGGUCAUGAUAGCUGAUUUAAUUGCAGCAGGUGAUCAAUCACAAUGCAUACUUUUUAAUAAGGCUGCAAUGCCAAUUAGAUGGGGACACGACAUUGAGGUGCCAGAUACUAUAUUGAAAGUUGAUGAUGUAUAAGUAUGGUUCGCCAACUCGGCCGAGUCGCAACCGGAACAGCAGGUGCCGUUCCGAUACCCAUACCCAAAACACCAAUUAUAUCAUAUCCGAUUUGAAUCGUUCCGAAUCAGCCGAUAUAGUCCAAGUUAGAACCGUGUAUCAAGAUAACGGCCAAAUUCUCGGAUUCGACUCAGAUAUGUACCGGUCAUAAUCAUAAACAGCAACUGGGAAGCCAAACCAAACCAAUAAGGAACAGAACGAAAGGCCACAAAAGGCUGUGCACCACAGCUAUACGGCUGUUGUAGAGUCUUUUCCCAUGCUUUCUUGUUUCCUUUUUCAGCCACAAAGACAAGAUUUAGGGGAAAGUGGGGAUAAGGGGAGAACCAUACCAGCAAUUUCUGCGUGAUCCAUCACUAUUGUUGAGCUUCAUUCCAGAUUCUGGAGUGAUUAUUUGGAGAAACAAGCCGAAGGGUUCUUCAAUUUCUUCAUCGUCCGGCUGCGGCUCAAAACAGAGGUGAUGGCAGGUGGGGAAGAAAACAACAGCGGGAAAGGGAAAGCAAAAGAAAGAAUAAAGGUGACGCCCGGCUAAUUCCGCAGCUGAAGGGGCUCUUCAAUUUCUUCAUUAUCUGGCCGUGAAGGAGGUGAAAAAAGUACGAAAGGGAAAUUGGAAAAAAAAAACGAAGAGAAGACUGAGAGGAACACAUGGCUAAACCUAGGAGCUGCGGCUACACUAAACUAUGGAGAAGGUGGGCUUUUGUACCGGAGCAAGCGAUAGGGAAAAAAAUUGAAGGAAAAAUUAGAAGCACAUAAAGUCUAACUUUGGCCCAAGUAAUUAAGAGAUCAGGCUCCUAAUCUUAAAUCCAAGCAUCA
This 7206-nucleotide long non-coding RNA is filed under the name Coffea arabica (coffee). Its description in RNAcentral is "long non-coding RNA (CARA_LNC001377)". The record is from RNAcentral. Lineage: Eukaryota; Viridiplantae; Streptophyta; Magnoliopsida; Gentianales; Rubiaceae.